GACGAACGCUGGCGGCGUGCUUAACACAUGCAAGUCGAACGGAAAGGCUCUACUUUGCUGGAGUACUCGAGUGGCGAACGGGUGAGUAACACGUGGGUAAUCUGCCCUUCACUCUGGGAUAACUUUGGGAAACUGGGUCUAAUACUGGAUAUGACCUUCUUCUUUAUGGUGUUUGUUGGAAAGUUUUUCGGUGUAGGAUGAGCCCGCGGCCUAUCAGCUUGUUGGUGGGGUGAUGGCCUACCAAGGCCUCGACGGGUAGCCGGCCUGAGAGGGUGAUCGGCCACAUUGGGACUGAGAUACGGCCCAGACUCCUACGGGAGGCAGCAGUGGGGAAUAUUGCACAAUGGGCGGAAGCCUGAUGCAGCAACGCCGCGUGAGGGAUGACGGCCUUCGGGUUGUAAACCGCUUUCGGCAGGGACGAAGCGUAAGUGACGGUAACGGGAGAAGAAGCACCGGCUAACUAUGUG
Molecule: ribosomal RNA, 467 nt
Filed under: uncultured bacterium
Lineage: Bacteria
Description: partial 16S ribosomal RNA
Rfam family: Bacterial small subunit ribosomal RNA
Source: RNAcentral